AAUGAACGUUGGCGGCGUGGAUUAGGCAUGCAAGUCGAGCGAGAAUCCCCGCAAGGGGAGGAAAGCGGCGAAAGGGAUAGUAACACGUAGGUACCUACCCCGGGCCUGGAUAGCGGCGGGAAACUGCCAUUAAUACCAGAUAACGUCCCCGGACCAAAGGUGUGAUUCCGUCUGGGGAGGGGCCUGCGUCCUAUCAGCUAGUUGGUGAGGUAAUGGCCCACCAAGGCUUUGACGGGUAGCGGGUGUGAGAGCACGACCCGCAUCACUGGGACUGAGACACUGCCCAGACACCUACGGGUGGCUG
RNAcentral lists this ribosomal RNA (304 nucleotides) under uncultured Planctomycetota bacterium. RNAcentral's name for it is "bacterial SSU rRNA". It matches the Rfam family "Bacterial small subunit ribosomal RNA", at positions 29 to 351 of the family's 1533-position model. The record is from RNAcentral. Lineage: Bacteria; Pseudomonadati; Planctomycetota.